CAGCCAGACUCCUACGGGAGGCAGCAGUGGGGAAUAUUGGACAAUGGGGGGAACCCUGAUCCAGCGACGCCGCGUGAGUGAAGAAGUAUUUCGGUAUGUAAAGCUCUAUCAGCAGGGAAGAGAGAAAUGACGGUACCUGACUAAGAAGCCCCGGCUAACUACGUGCCAGCAGCCGCGGUAAUACGUAGGGGGCAAGCGUUAUCCGGAUUUACUGGGUGUAAAGGGAGCGUAGACGGCCAGACAAGUCAGAAGUGAAAGCCCAGGGCUCAACUCUGGGACUGCUUUUGAAACUGCCGGGCUGGAGUGCAGGAGAGGUAAGCGGAAUUCCUAGUGUAGCGGUGAAAUGCGUAGAUAUUAGGAGGAACACCAGUGGCGAAGGCGGCCUACUGGACUGUAACUGACGUUGAGGCUCGAAAGCGUGGGGAGCAAACAGGAUUAGAUACCCUAGUAA
This 451-nucleotide ribosomal RNA is filed under the name uncultured bacterium. RNAcentral describes it as "bacterial SSU rRNA". It matches the Rfam family "Bacterial small subunit ribosomal RNA", at positions 328 to 793 of the family's 1533-position model. The record is from RNAcentral.